RNAcentral lists this ribosomal RNA (245 nucleotides) under uncultured bacterium. RNAcentral's name for it is "partial 16S ribosomal RNA". It matches the Rfam family "Bacterial small subunit ribosomal RNA", at positions 524 to 768 of the family's 1533-position model. The record is from RNAcentral.
UACGUAGGCAGCAAGCGUUGUUCGGAGUUACUGGGCGUAAAGAGUGCGUAGGCGGUUCACCAAGUCUGUCGUGAAAUCUCCCGGCUUAACUGGGAGGGUGCGGUGGAAACUGGUGGGCUUGAGUGUGGGAGAGGUAAGCGGAAUUCCUGGUGUAGCGGUGAAAUGCGUAGAUAUCAGGAGGAACACCGGUGGUGUAGACGGCUUACUGGACCACGACUGACGCUGAGGCACGAAAGCGUGGGUAG